Molecule: ribosomal RNA, 553 nt
Filed under: uncultured bacterium
Lineage: Bacteria
Description: partial 16S ribosomal RNA
Rfam family: Bacterial small subunit ribosomal RNA
Source: RNAcentral
UGGGGAAUUUUGGACAAUGGGCGAAAGCCUGAUCCAGCAAUGCCGCGUGUGUGAAGAAGGCCUUCGGGUUGUAAAGCACUUUUGUCCGGAAAGAAAUCCUUGGCUCUAAUACAGUCGGGGGAUGACGGUACCGGAAGAAUAAGCACCGGCUAACUACGUGCCAGCAGCCGCGGUAAUACGUAGGGUGCAAGCGUUAAUCGGAAUUACUGGGCGUAAAGCGUGCGCAGGCGGUUUGCUAAGACCGAUGUGAAAUCCCCGGGCUCAACCUGGGAACUGCAUUGGUGACUGGCAGGCUAGAGUAUGGCAGAGGGGGGUAGAAUUCCACGUGUAGCAGUGAAAUGCGUAGAGAUGUGGAGGAAUACCGAUGGCGAAGGCAGCCCCCUGGGCCAAUACUGACGCUCAUGCACGAAAGCGUGGGGAGCAAACAGGAUUAGAUACCCUGGUAGUCCACGCCCUAAANGAUGUCAACUAGUUGUUGGGAUUCAUUUCCUUAGUAACGUAGCUAACGCGUGAAGUUGACCGCCUGGGGAGUACGGUCGCAAGAUUAAAACUC